CAGUAGCGUAUAUUAAAGUUGUUGCAGUUAAAAAGCUCGUAGUUGGAUUUCUGGUACGCUGCGCCUGGCCCGCCCACGUUAGUGGUGUGAGUGUCGGUGCGCGGUUGCCAUCCUUUCAGAGAAGACGUGUCUACCUUUAAUUAGGCCGGGCUACGGGAUCUAGAUCAUUUACUUUGAAAAAUUAGAGUGUUUAAAGCAGGCUUUUGCUGUGAAUACAUUAGCAUGGAAUAAUAAUCUAGGACUUCGGUUCUAUUUUGUUGGUUUCUAGUACUGAAGUAAUGAUUGAUAGGGAUAGUUGGGGUGCUAGUAUUGGCCGGCCAGAGGU
This 325-nucleotide ribosomal RNA is filed under the name uncultured eukaryote. Its description in RNAcentral is "SSU rRNA". It matches the Rfam family "Eukaryotic small subunit ribosomal RNA", at positions 592 to 912 of the family's 1831-position model. The record is from RNAcentral.